Molecule: ribosomal RNA, 465 nt
Filed under: Vreelandella stevensii
Lineage: Bacteria; Pseudomonadati; Pseudomonadota; Gammaproteobacteria; Oceanospirillales; Halomonadaceae
Description: partial 16S ribosomal RNA
Rfam family: Bacterial small subunit ribosomal RNA
Source: RNAcentral
CCUACGGGUGGCAGCAGUGGGGAAUAUUGGACAAUGGGCGAAAGCCUGAUCCAGCCAUGCCGCGUGUGUGAAGAAGGCCUUCGGGUUGUAAAGCACUUUCAGUGGGGAAGAAAGCCUUGGGGUUAAUACCCUCGAGGAAGGACAUCACCCACAGAAGAAGCACCGGCUAACUCCGUGCCAGCAGCCGCGGUAAUACGGAGGGUGCGAGCGUUAAUCGGAAUUACUGGGCGUAAAGCGCGCGUAGGCGGUCUGAUAAGCCGGUUGUGAAAGCCCCGGGCUCAACCUGGGAACGGCAUCCGGAACUGUCAGGCUAGAGUGUAGGAGAGGAAGGUAGAAUUCCCGGUGUAGCGGUGAAAUGCGUAGAGAUCGGGAGGAAUACCAGUGGCGAAGGCGGCCUUCUGGACUAACACUGACGCUGAGGUGCGAAAGCGUGGGUAGCAAACAGGAUUAGAUACCCUUGUAGUC